Molecule: unclassified non-coding RNA, 495 nt
Filed under: Hevea brasiliensis (rubber tree)
Lineage: Eukaryota; Viridiplantae; Streptophyta; Magnoliopsida; Malpighiales; Euphorbiaceae
Source: RNAcentral
GGAUGAGGUGGAGGGAUCAAACAGCCCCGGCAGGAGAAACUUCCUUCCUCUGGCACCAUUCGCAUUGUAGCUCCCACCUGUCACCGUGUCCACCAGCAGCUCCCCGGCAUAGCCCGGGUAUGCUCCAGUCCCGUAAACCCCUGGACAGGCCGUCGCAGCCUCCAGUGGCGCCUCCUUAGGACCCUGGUAGAACCCAUUCCCGAACGGGUUUGUCACUGCUCCGGCCACCAUGCUGGCGAGGUUGAUCACCAUGCCGUCCACCCCAGCGUCGCCGUUGGGCGCCACCAGUGCUGGUCCCUGCGGGCCGUAGAUGGGCUGGUGGAAGGGCCACGCGCACUGCCCCGGACACUGGGUUGCCGAAUUGCCGACCCAGAGGUAAGUGAACCGGGUUUUUCGAUUGCCGGUCGGUACCGGGGCGGAGGCGUGGGAGCCACAGCGGCUCAUACAGAAGCCGGCAACGGUGACGUCGGAGGCGGUGAGGACGGCAGUGAUCGC